AGUGACGCGCAUGAAUGGAUGAAUGAGAUUCCCACUGUCCCUAUCUAC
Molecule: ribosomal RNA, 48 nt
Filed under: Craspedostauros australis
Lineage: Eukaryota; Bacillariophyta; Bacillariophyceae; Mastogloiales; Achnanthaceae
Description: partial Eukaryotic large subunit ribosomal RNA
Source: RNAcentral